Molecule: long non-coding RNA, 534 nt
Organism: Salvia miltiorrhiza (redroot sage)
Lineage: Eukaryota; Viridiplantae; Streptophyta; Magnoliopsida; Lamiales; Lamiaceae
Exons: 3
Source: RefSeq, a predicted model, not a curated record
GCAGCUCUAGACGAGGACCUACUUAAAAAUUAAUUAGUCCCAAAAAUCUUACUCGGAAAGGAGCUUAUGUGUCUAUUGGGUCCGUCUUAUCCAGACCAAACCCGUCCGUUCGAGUUGGUUUAACGGGUUCAGUUGAGUUUGAGUUUUCUUCCCCCGACUCCUCUCAAACAAAACACUUUACUUUUCUCUCAAACUCAGACAGAAAUCACAGCACCAGUCAAUUAGAAACUCUUGAAAGGUCAAGUGCACGAGCAAUAACUAGAUUGAGAGCUGCUGCACCACAGCAGGAGUGCUGUCAGGUUGAGCAGCUGCUGGUGGUGAUGAAGUGACGAGCGGAGUCCUUUUGUUUUAUCCUUAUGUAUUAAUGAACUCUGGGGAUACAUGUCUUCAUACAUGUAAUCAGAACCUUAUUCCGCUGCGUACUCAGAAGUCUUAUAUUAUUUUGGCUAAGUCGGAAUCAUCCGAACUUACUAGUUUAUUUGAGUCAAUAUGACUAAACCUCCGUUAUAUUAUAAAUAUUCCUUUUGUUAACAA